RNAcentral lists this ribosomal RNA (198 nucleotides) under uncultured Pediococcus sp. Its description in RNAcentral is "partial 16S ribosomal RNA". It matches the Rfam family "Bacterial small subunit ribosomal RNA", at positions 334 to 524 of the family's 1533-position model. The record is from RNAcentral. Lineage: Bacteria; Bacillati; Bacillota; Bacilli; Lactobacillales; Lactobacillaceae.
UACUCCUACGGGAGGCAGCAGUAGGGAAUCUUCCACAAUGGACGCAAGUCUGAUGGAGCAACGCCGCGUGAGUGAAGAAGGGUUUCGGCUCGUAAAGCUCUGUUGUUAAAGAAGAACGUGGGUAAGAGUAACUGUUUACCCAGUGACGGUAUUUAACCAGAAAGCCACGGCUAACUACGUGCCAGCAGCCGCGGUAAU